RNAcentral lists this ribosomal RNA (198 nucleotides) under uncultured bacterium. RNAcentral's name for it is "partial 16S ribosomal RNA". It matches the Rfam family "Bacterial small subunit ribosomal RNA", at positions 328 to 539 of the family's 1533-position model. The record is from RNAcentral.
ACGCUCGACACCUACGGGAGACAGCAGUGGGGAAUAUUGCACAAUGGGGGAAACCCUGAUGCAGCGACGCCGCGUGAGUGAAGAAGUAUUUCGGUAUGUAAAGCUCUAUCAGCAGGGAAGAAGAUGACGGUACCUGAGUAAGAAGCCCCGGCUAACUACGUGCCCGCAGCCGCGGUAAUCUGAGCGGGCUGGCAAGGC